Molecule: long non-coding RNA, 543 nt
Organism: Dipodomys spectabilis (banner-tailed kangaroo rat)
Lineage: Eukaryota; Metazoa; Chordata; Mammalia; Rodentia; Heteromyidae
Exons: 4
Source: RefSeq, a predicted model, not a curated record
GCUUCAAACCUUGAUCCUCAGAUCUCAGCCUCCUGAGUAGGUAGGAUUGUAGGCAUGACCUACCAGCACCCAGCUAAGUGGUAACUUUUAAUGAAGUUCCUUCCCCACAUAUUUUUUUAAUUUCUAUGAUAUAGGGCUUACAAUGUAAUAAAACACAUCUAUUACAUACACAUCCUAUAUAUUAAUGAUGACAUAUCUAAAGCAUUUCCUGAGGCAGUGUAAAGAGACAAGAGAUGAUUUUGUGUAGGGCUCAGCCAGAUGGCCCAAAUACAAAAAGAGUCUCCAGCAGAAUGAUUUAUUUUUUUCUCAUGCAACACAUCUGGCUAGAGAAUAGGAGUCCAUUGUGCUGGCUGCCUCUGGGCUCCAUAAAGUUCUAAGCUUACCAUUCUAACAAUUGAUUCCUCUAGAGAUUCUUCCAUUGUUCUCUAGGAGAAGGCCAAUUUAUGAAACUGUGUUUAUACUUUUAGGUUACAAACUAUCUAUAAAAAGAACUCCAUUACUGAGAGCUGAUCAUGGAUAUGUCUGUACAGCAUGUAUAUGCCA